CAGUGUGAGGUAUCACACUAUUUUUUAUGAUCAGUAACUGCCAUCCAAAAAGGAGUAUUCCAUACAGACUUGUCUCCUUGGCGACUGGCCGUUCCCUCACCUCCGUUGUGGCCGACGUAGUUGCCCUCCACCAGCGCCACGCUGACAGGCCGGCGGGAGGAGAAUCGCUCGUCCUCGCUGUCCAGGUCGCUCUCCCAGGCCAGCAGCUCGCCCUCCUCGUUAAAGUUGUCGCCCGCGACGCCGCCGUGGCCCGACAGGUAGCCGUCGCCCUCCCCGCCGUCCUCGCUGUCCUUGCGGCAGAACACGGCCACGCCGUAGAUGCAGUUGUGCACGAUGCGGUUCCCCGACAGCUGGGGCAGGCUGGACGACAUCACCCAAAUGCCACAGCCCCGGUUACCUACCCAAACGGAAAAACUGCUUCAUUCUUCAUAUUUACCAUCAUGUCAAGUGCAUUGUUAAGCCUUUAAGCCGGGCUAACUGCGGUUAGCUUGGUAGGCUGCUUCGACUGCAAACUUUCAUUCCAGUGAGCCACUCCAUCUAUGUCACUUGAUUGUCUAAGAUAAAAUGGCUUCUUUCUCCCGUUUGAGUUGGACAAUCUGUUGAAAUGAAAGGGCCCUGAUUGGGAACUGACAGGUGGGUAGGUGCCAUAUUGGAUGAAUAUUGAGGCCGUCCAAAUGAAACAAACUCAAAUGGACAGGAAAUAUGGAACUCCUUGAAUGUUUCUACAAUAUUGCUUUCUGUUACCAGUAGAGCCAUUACACCAGCAUUAGAAUGUUCAGUUAAGAACAUUAACUGAACAUAAUCAUAUUUUUGAUCUUACACCUUAUAAAGGGAUAACCCUCUGGAGGGAGAAAGAGAUGGACAGAUGAGCAAAGGCCACCUACAGUAGAUGUGGUUUCCCUCGAUGAGCCCGCGGCCUCUCUCCCCCACCACCACUCCAUCGGAGUAGCCAUGACAGAUGAAGUUGUUCCUCAUGACCGGGUCUCCUCCUCUCCUGAUAUCUGCACCUCCCCACUGGUUCUCCCAAAUAACAUUGUCUGUUGGGGUAAGGGGAGCAGGAGUCUGGAGCAGUAAGCUGUAUAAUGGCAGGGUUCAGAACGGGUUUGUGUAACAGUGAUCAGCCUCACAGAGACCUGGCACAGUCAAGUGGCCCGCAGGAAGUGAUGCGUACCAACAAUCAGGCCCCGCCCAUUCUCAUUCACAGCAAUGCCUGCUGCCUGGCCCUGGAAGAUGCGAUUCCCACUGAAAGACACCGAUGUAGAUGCCUGCCUCCUUGUUGCCGUAGAUCUGGUUGCUUCGGAUGGAACCUUUCCCGUUUCCAAGGACAACAAUUCCGGAACGCAGACCACUGUGUAUUCUGUUACACUUCAGAGGAAGACGGAGAGAAGCGAGCAAAGCUUGAAUCUGUCUGUGACAAGAAAAAGCAGCCCUCCUUUUCCAAAUAAAUCAUUUCUAAA
Long non-coding RNA from Conger conger (European conger), 1457 nucleotides. RefSeq lists it as uncharacterized. Lineage: Eukaryota; Metazoa; Chordata; Actinopteri; Anguilliformes; Congridae. The record is from RefSeq and is a predicted model, not a curated record. The transcript is spliced from 3 exons.